CUAUGGAAGGAUUUCUGGUUGGAGCCUUAUGGAGUCCUUUCUGUAAGCCUGGAUUUUUGGAGGUCCCGGCAGGCUGGUCUUCCACAGCUACUGGGGAAGAUGUAUUUCCCCCUUCAAGGGCCUGUAUUAUGGAGGAGCGCAAUCUGAAGAAUUUAGCAAAGAACUUCUGGACAGUGAAAUCUGCAGUGAACGGAGGACAUUCAGAACAAAGAUGUGCUCUUCUCAUCUUAUCAAAAUUCGUAUUCAUAUAUGUCCAACGAUAAUGUUUUCUGACACUGUGUCUUUGGUAUAUGGUUGCUUUUACUCUUUCAGCCCACUUUCAAGAACAGUUAACUUGAGAUCUCAUUAUGGGACUGUACCGAUAGCAACUCAGAAUGGUGAAUUGAGGAAACUCAACUUUUUGAAGGCAAUUUAGUUUUACCAAACAAUGCAAUUGCUUGCAGCCAGGGUUUGUCACUCAGGUUUAUCACUUUCACAGUAUGAAUCCCAUGCCUCAGAUCUGUGGAAAGUUUAACUAUUUGUAGCCACAGGAUUCUAGGAAAAAUGGAAAUAUCCUGCAGAGUCCCUGUCAUAUGGAGAAAUGCUUUUCCACAGUUCUGUGAUAGAGAUGUACAGCAACUUUCAGCAACCUAAUUAGUUUCUUGAUCAGAGGAAGACAACUCUUCAAGGCAAAUGAAAAGGUCAUUGCAAAUCCCAGAGAAAUAUUCAUGUCUUUUGUCAUAUUAACUGACAGAUAUUUAAAUAUAACCACUCACUUUUCCUGCAGACACUGUCAGAAGAUGCCAGACAGCUGACAAGCAGCAAUGAAUUCGUAUCACCACCCUGACAUACCAACAAUGAGGAAGUGAAUAAAACUACUAAAUGCUCUUUUUGUGCUGCUGAGAGAUAGGUCUGGGUCAGCAUACACUUACAAGUCUGGUGAUACAUAAGGGACAUUGUGACUUCUCUGAAGAUGGUUUAGCCCAAUUAAUAAUAUCAGCAGGGGAAAGGAAUGCUGCUCUGCUACUGGAGCACUGAGAGAGGAUGUAGAAAGCUGGAGUAUGCACCAAGAUCUCUGUACAACCUUAGUAAAGUCUUGUAAUGUUUUUGAGGACUAACACUUGCCCGCAUAUUUAUUCCAAGACUGACUUUAGGUACUGUGAAGCUGUGAGUUUACUUUCUUUCAGCUCUUUAUCUGUAAGAUGGAGAAAAGGCAUUUCUUUUUUCCACCGUUUGGCUACCAGUAACUGUAAAAGCCUCAGGGUAAGAAUAGGUCUGACUGCAGUUAUGACAUGAAUAGACAGCUGCCUGGUAUCAUUAACACAGGAUCCUGAAUGCAGAAAAUAUUAACAAAAGAAUGAAGGCAUUUUGAUCCCAGAGGAAAUCUUAUUUUGUUGCAUAAAGUGUUUUGUGUAACUGAAUUCCAGUACUAGCCAGUGUAUUUUAUAGAAAAUGUACUAGCAAGCUUCUUCCCAGCAGUGAUCAUAGAAAUAAUACUGGAACAAUCAUGGUGCACGUGUGACUGCAGUACAGUGAAUUUUGUCUGGCUACUUUCUUAUCAUGGAACACACUGGUAAUAUUCAUUGCAUAGAAAUCCCAGAGGAAUCUGAUUUGAAGGUGUUCUGAUCUCUGAAUAUCAGCUUCAGGAUGUUCCUUGUUCAAGAUGUGUGAAGUAGAUAUAGACAUUUCAAAGUCAGGUUGGACAGCGCUUUGAGCAACUUGAUUUAGAGGAAGGUGUCCCUUCCUAUGGCAGGGAGAUGAACUAGAUGAUCUUUAAGAUCAUUUCCAACUCAAACCGUGCUAUGGUAUCUCAUUCUUCCAGAUGACAUGAUCCUUCUUCUUGGCCCAGAUUAUUCUGUACUCUCGUUCUGUGUUACUGCUCUUGUAGCACACUUUCCAACCUAACAGUGAAAAGAAAUGUGUAUGUUGAUAUGCUACAUGGCCGCUAUUUCGUGUAUGCGGCCUGUAUAUUUUGUCUUGUUAAAAAUAUUCAACAGACUGUUUACAAGAGGUUCUAUGCUGGGAUAAGAAUUCAGAUAAGUUGGGAAUGUGGAAACUAGCCUUCUUAAAACUAAUUUUUCACCCAGAACAGUGUUUAUCUGACUCUCAACACAGUCACUUGUGAAAGCUGUAGGGAUGGGCACCGUGACUGGAAAAGAAAAUAUAUCCCAAAAGAACCCAAGGACCCUACGUAUUUACUUUUGCCACAGAAGUGCAUUUGUUCUGCAUGAACUAAGCAAGGAAGUUUCUACUUCUGCACCUGUAGAAAAACUCUACUAGAUAAGAAAUCACGCUCGUUUAUGAUUCUUCAUCCUGAUAUUUCUCAUGUUACAACUGGACUAUGGUACUAAUGAAAUGGGGCCAACCCCCUUUUUUUUUUUUCUUCAGAAAAACAGUAUAUAAGAAUAUAUAAGAAUAGAAACCUUCAAUUUUGAUUUGAAUUUCAACAAAUGUGGCCAUUUUUUUUGCUGAUAUGUAAUACACGAACAUAGGGAAACAGCGCUUUAAAGGAGUGAGUCUUUGUUCAGUUUAGAUUGUACUGCUUAGGAAGCACCAUGUCAUUAAGUAUUGUGGUGGUAAUUUGUUACUUCUGAGCAUUACUUUCAAACUAUGCUUCACUGUGCCUGCUUCAGGAUAAUGAUGGUAUUUUAUACUAGAGAGGAUACAGUCAAAUGCAUUCCUGCACACAGAACUAAAAGCACUGUACUGAGGAUAAAGCAAUAUCAAAUUCCUUCACUAGCAAGAAAUACAACUAAUAAAGAGACUGAGGUCUUGGAUCUGUCCCUCAGUAUUAAUAGAUCUAUUUACUUUCUAAUGGAUGAAUCGCUGGAACAAGUUCAAUGUGUACCUGAAAUACUGCCAUGGAAGUGAAUUCCAGAGGAUCUCAUCCUGACUGGAAGCUUGCACAUUACACUGGGUAUGAGCAACAUGGGGAACUGCCAUUCAGUUCAACUCAUUCCUCCUAAAUCAGGCUGAGAUUUGAUUCCUGUGAUCACUGUCAGUAUUUUAAAGAAAGAGAAAGGAGAUGUAAUAAGGUGAUAGAUACAUUUCAUAGCCAUUAUUGCUGCUGGAAAAGUGUCUGAUUUAGUUUCCAGCUAAAUAAAUCCACAUACCUCUUAGCCUUACUUUCUAAAAAUGGUCUCAGCUUUUAGAGAAUAUCUUUCAUAUUCUCAGUGAAAAUGAUGUCUGUACAAAUAGCUGACUUUAAGAUUGAGAAGAUGAAUAAAAGUGAUGAAGAGGAAGGCUGUAGUGGGUUUUGUUAUUGUUGUUGUUUUGGUUGUUGGGGAUUUUUUGGUCAACCAGAAACAUUAUUUCUGCAUUGUCAUAUUUUUUUAAACUUACAUUGAAUAAAAAAGUUAAAUGUACACAAUAUAUUCAUAUAGAUUGGGCUAAAUGCUUUCUUAGUCUAAAGACGUUUCUUAUGUUUUCCUUGCGAAUUUAAAGAAGAUGAAAGUGUACUGUCAAAAAUGUCAGCAUAAACAGAAAAAAAAUUUAAAACAUUAGAAAGUGUUAAGCAAUCACUGAAAUGUUUUGACUUCUUGCAAGCAUUUUUUUGAUAUAUUUAAUUGUUUAAUGCAGCUGUUCACUGAA
This is a long non-coding RNA of Lagopus muta (rock ptarmigan), 3570 nucleotides long. RefSeq lists it as uncharacterized. The transcript has 3 exons. NCBI's taxonomy places the organism in Eukaryota, Metazoa, Chordata, Aves, Galliformes, Phasianidae. The record is from RefSeq and is a predicted model, not a curated record.